GCUCCCAUGGCAUAGUGGUCACUGCACUCGCCUUGCACGCGGGAGACCUGGGUUCGAUUCCCGGCGGGGUCA
RNAcentral lists this transfer RNA (72 nucleotides) under Diaphorina citri (Asian citrus psyllid). It matches the Rfam family "tRNA". Rfam says of the family: Transfer RNA (tRNA) molecules are approximately 80 nucleotides in length. Their secondary structure includes four short double-helical elements and three loops (D, anti-codon, and T loops). The record is from Rfam by way of RNAcentral. Lineage: Eukaryota; Metazoa; Arthropoda; Insecta; Hemiptera; Psyllidae.